GACUGUUGGUUUAGUUAGAUGUAGGAACUGUGGGAUGGUAUGGCUUUGGUAGCGGGAAUAAAAUAUUGAUCAUUGAGGAGAGGGUGAAUAAGACGACUAUACAAGAUGAAUACCCAUCAUGGGUGAGGGAUGAAAAGCGCCAACGACUCUCAAUUUGGCAAAAGAUUUCAAAGAUUAGCAACUAGGGUUGUGAAACAUCGGAUUGUGAAGAAAAUAAGGUUUGUAAAAAAAGUUUCAAGAGACGCCCUAGAAUCAGUGCUCUGAUACCAUGUGAAAUUAGAGAUUUUGUUAAGAAGAAUAAUUCUCAGUUGUUAUUGAUAGAGCCAAAAGGCUAAGUAUUUAUAGAGAUAUUACAAGCUUAACUAGGAAAACUAGGUUACUUGAAGACUACUCCAAAUCAAUUACAAUCAACUAAUAAAAGGAAACUAAAUAACAAUUUAAUAACGUUCCUAAUUUCCAACAGUAAGGAGUUCAUUUGUUGAGUAAUAAGUAGUCGUUCCUAAAGUAAAUUGACUAAGAAACCUUUUUUACUAAUCCAACAAUACCUUUUACAGUACCAACGACAGUUUGCUUGACUCAAAAUCAUAGCUUUUUAAGUCAACGGAUGGAUGAUCCUCUCAUUUGGUCAUUUCCAUCCAUCCGACAGUUUGCUUGUUCACAACACCUCAUCAUUGAUGGCACUUGUGAGAGCAUCCGAUCCACAAACCUCCUCUGUUUCCAGUAUUUGUCGAUAUUGUCGUUAUCACGUGUUCCUGAGUUUCAGAGGCCAAGACACUCGCAAGACUUUCACUGACCACCUCUACACGGCCCUUGUCAAUGCUGGAUUUCGCACUUUCCGAGACGACGACGAAGUCGAGAGAGGAGAAGCUAUCAAGCCCGAACUGCAGAAAGCAAUCAAACACUCACGAACUUCUGUUAUUGUGUUCUCAAAAAACUACGCAUCGUCCAGAUGGUGCCUUGACGAGCUCGUCAUGAUCCUUGAACGGCUCUCAGCUGACCAUGUCGUUUUACCUGUCUUCUACGACGUGGAUCCAUCCGAUGUGCGGAACCAGACAGGAAGUCUUGCAAAGGCAUUUGCUAGACACCAAAAAACCCAACCGUCGAACAGAGUGAAGGAAUGGAGGAAGGCACUUGCAGAGGUUGCAGAUCUGGCAGGGAUGGUCUUACAAAAUCAAGCUGAUGGACACGAGUCAAAGUUUAUCAACAAGAUUGUUCAAGUGAUAGGAGAAAAACUAAGGCGUAGACCCCUAAGUGUUCCCCACAUCAUGAUCGGAAGGCAUUCUCGAAUCCACGAACUUAAUUUAUGGUUACAAGAUGGAUCAGAUGAUGUCGGCAUACUUGUAAUUUAUGGCAUGAGUGGAAUAGGGAAGACAACCAUUGCAAAGUAUGUUUAUAAUACAGACUUUGAAAGAUUUGAAGGAAGCAGCUUCAUCGAAAACAUUAGAGAAAUUUCACAGCAACCUAAUGGCCUAGUUCAAAUACAAACACAUCUUCUUUCUGAUAUUUUGUAUGGGAGAAAAGUAAAAAUACAGAGUGUUAGCAAGGGAAUGGCUGAGAUAGAAGAUGCGAUAAGCUCCAAAAAGGUUUUUCUUGUUCUCGACGAUGUGGAUCAUAUUAGCCAAUUAGAUGUGGUGCUUCGAAUGAAAGAUCAGUUUUAUCCAGGAAGUAAAAUCAUCAUAACAACUAGGCGCGCAGGAUUGUUAAAGGCUCAUCAAGAUACUAAGGUGCAUGCAGUUGAAACUUUGACUCAAGAAGAAUCAUUGGAGCUCUUCAGUUGGCACGCAUUUGGCCAAGACCAUCCCAUUGAAGAUUACAUAGAAUAUUCAGAAAAGCUAGUCGAUCAUUGCAGAGGACUUCCAUUAGCUCUUCAAGUUUUAGGUUCUUCGUUGUUGGGGGAAAGUAUAGGUGUAUGGAAAAGUGCAUUGGAGAAAUUAAAAGUCAUUCCAAAUGGUGACUAGCUUAAGAGUAAGUUAAGAGUAAGUUACGAUUCUUUGCAAGAUGACCAUGACAAAAAAUUAUUCCUCCACAUUGCUUGUUUCUUUAUCGGAAAGGACAAAGAUUACAUUGCUAAAAUACUGGAUGGAUGUGAUUUCUAUACAAUUGUUGGCAUUCAAAAUCUCAUCGAUAGAUGUUUGGUGAUUAUUAAUGGAUGGGACAAGGUGCAGAUGCACGACCUGAUUCGUGGAAUGGGAAGAGAAAUUGUUCGCCUAGAAUCAAAUGAGCCUUGGAAGCGUAGUAGAGUAUGGCAUCAUAAGGACUCUUUCAAAAUCUUGACGGAAAAGAAUGGUACGGAAAGAAUUGAAGGUCUUGUCCUCAACAUGCACAUGUGCCCUGCUAUAAAUUCAAAUGAGAAAGUCUUGGAAACCAAUGCAUUUUCAAGGAUGCGGGAACUAAAACUACUCCAUCUUAGUCAUGUACAACUUAACGGAUCUUAUGCAGAAUUUUGUACAGGACUAAUAUGGUUGUGUUGGACUAAGUUUCCUUUGGAUUCUAUACCCGUUGAUUUUCCUUUGGAAAGCGUUAUUAUUCUUGAAAUGCAAUACAGCGGUCUGAGACAAGUAUUCAAGGGAACAAAAAGACUAAAUCUAGGGAAUAAUCCAAUUAGUAGCCUACCAAAUUGUAUCAAAGGAUUAACAAGGCUCCAUAAACUCUCUUUUAACAAGUGUACAAGUCUCAAAUCGCUUCUCAGGGUACCAAAACUAUACGAUUUGGAUAUCACCGAAUGCAUAUCAUUGGAAAAAAUAACGUAUCAAUACCCCCGUUUAUCCUGGGAACGCUGUACCAGAUUGUGUUGCAACUACAACCUAGUUGAUUGGGAGUACAGGUACAAGUUACAACCCAUUGGAAGUGUAGAUGUAGAAAUGAUCAACCUCUUGGGAUUGUGCAACUUGUUGGAAUCCAUUGCACCCAUACGGAUGUACGCAUUAUACAGAAAUUUACAAGAGGAUGAUCCAAUUCCUAUCCAGGGACUGUACGAACGUGGUAUAUUCAGCACAUUUUUUGGUGGGAAUGAGGUUCCAGGCCAAUUCAGCCAUAAAAGCAGAGGGUCCUCAAUAUCUUUUACUGUGCCAUUACUUGAUAAUCACAGAACUCGAGGCUUGAUUGUCUUUGUUGUCUAUGUGAAUGCUGACUAUGAUUCUCCUAUUAUCCACCACAGUUAUUUGUCACAUAUAAUAGUAAAAAAUAAGAGCAACGGUCUGAGGGGGGCGUAUUGCCCAUCACACUACGGUAUUCCAGGUGAAGGAGAAGACAUGAUAUGGUUAAGCCACUGGAAUUUGGAUGAUCAGUUACAAGGGGGCGAUGAAGUGGUUGUUUCUGUAAUUAUGAUAUCUGGGCUUCUGGUAAAGGAGUUGGGCAUCCAACUUGUGCAGGUGCAACAAGAAGAGAAUCAUAAUAUGAUGAGUAUUUCCACAGAUUCUUCUUAUGAUGAUCGAAUAUGGUAUUAUAAGCUCCUUGGGGACUCUGAUGAAGAAGAUAGGAGAGACGAAGAAGAAGAGCAACAGGAUGAUAUCACAGUUACAACCACCACAGGCAGAAAUAACUCCGGCGUCCUCCGUGGCUGGAAGGUGCUCGUCACCGCAGCUUGCUUCUUUCUCACCCUUUCUCUAAUCACUCGGUCUUCUCUCUCAGGCAGAAAGAAGGGACCGUCCACAAGCCCUGGAUGAAUUUUUUGUACAUCUCAACAGCAGACUAUUUGUUUUUGCAUACAUCCAAUGUCAUUUCGUAGCAUCAAAUGCAUCUUCUUCAGAGAUAUUUUUAUUGACCCCAUUCGUUCAGUUUUAACAUAUCUUUGGGCUGGAAAACUGAAGUGGCCCAACCCAGAUUGUGAGAUUA
RNA transcript from Prunus persica (peach), 3834 nucleotides. It is a transcript of the gene named TMV resistance protein N, with no coding region annotated. The record is from RefSeq and is a predicted model, not a curated record. NCBI's taxonomy places the organism in Eukaryota, Viridiplantae, Streptophyta, Magnoliopsida, Rosales, Rosaceae. The transcript is spliced from 7 exons.